UAAAAAUACAAAAAUUAGUCAGGUGUGGUGA
Molecule: non-coding RNA, 31 nt
Filed under: Homo sapiens (human)
Lineage: Eukaryota; Metazoa; Chordata; Mammalia; Primates; Hominidae
Source: RNAcentral